AGUGAACGCUGGCGGCGUGCUUAACACAUGCAAGUCGAACGAGAACGGAAUAUAGCUUGCUAUAUUUGUCAGCUAAGUGGCGCACGGGUGAGUAAUGUAUAGAUAACCUGCCCUUAAGAAAGGAAUAACAGUUGGAAACGACUGCUAAUGCCCUAUAUGCCUUUAAUACAUAAGUAUGCAAGGGAAACGCUUUAGUGCUUAAGGAUGGGUCUGUAUGGUAUCAGCUUGUUGGUGAGGUAAUGGCUCACCAAGGCUAUGACGCCUAACUGGUUUGAGAGUAUGAGCAGUCACACUGGAACUGAGACAUGGUCCAGACUCCUACGGGAGGCAGCAGUGGGGAAUAUUGCACAAUGGACGAAAGUCUGAUGCAGCAACGCCGCGUGGAGGAUGACACAUUUCGGUGCGUAAACUCCUUUUAUAUAGGAAGAUAAUGACGGUACUAUAUGAAUAAGCACCGGCUAACUCCGUGCCAGCCGCCGCGGUAA
Molecule: ribosomal RNA, 485 nt
Filed under: uncultured bacterium
Lineage: Bacteria
Description: partial 16S ribosomal RNA
Rfam family: Bacterial small subunit ribosomal RNA
Source: RNAcentral